This 772-nucleotide ribosomal RNA is filed under the name uncultured bacterium. Its description in RNAcentral is "bacterial SSU rRNA". It matches the Rfam family "Bacterial small subunit ribosomal RNA", at positions 8 to 799 of the family's 1533-position model. The record is from RNAcentral.
AGAGUUUGAUCCUGGCUCAGGAUUAACGCUGGCGGCGUGCAUGAGACAUGCAAGUCGAACGGACGAGCGGGGCUUGCUCUGCUCGUUAGUGGCGGACGGCUGAGUAACGCGUGGGUGACCUGCCCCGAAGUGGGGAAUAACUGCCCGAAAGGGUGGCUAAUACCGCAUGUGGAGCCUGGUUCGUUCCAGUCUCCAAAGCCGCAAGGCGCUUCGGGAAGGGCCUGCGUCCGAUUAGCUCGUUGGUGGGGUAACGGCUCACCAAGGCGACGAUCGGUAGGUGGUCUGAGAGGACGAUCACCCAGACUGGGACUGAGACACGGCCCAGACUCCUACGGGAGGCAGCAGUCGGGAAUUUUGCUCAAUGGGCGAAAGCCUGAAGCAGCAACGCCGCGUGAGGGAUGAAGGCCUUCGGGUUGUAAACCUCUUUUCUCAGGGACGAUGAUGACGGUACCUGAGGAAUAAGCCACGGCUAACUACGUGCCAGCAGCCGCGGUAAUACGUAGGUGGCGAGCGUUGUCCGGAUUUACUGGGCGUAAAGAGCGCGCAGGCGGUCGUGCAAGUCGGAUGUGAAAGCCCCCGGCUCAACUGGGGAGGGUCAUUCGAUACUGCUCGACUUGAAGGCGGGAGAGGGAAGCGGAAUUCCCGGUGUAGUGGUGAAAUGCGUAGAUAUCGGGAGGAACACCAGUGGCGAAGGCGGCUUCCUGGCCCGUUCUUGACGCUGAGGCGCGAAAGCUAGGGGAGCAAACGGGAUUAGAUACCCCGGUAGUCCUAG